Molecule: long non-coding RNA, 6694 nt
Organism: Homo sapiens (human)
Lineage: Eukaryota; Metazoa; Chordata; Mammalia; Primates; Hominidae
Source: Ensembl
AGGCGCGGCGAGGCGGGUGGCGCGCGGCAGCAGGGUUGGGCUCUCGCCGUGAGUCGACGAAGGGAGCGCGGGCGCGCGCCCGCGUCCGCGCACUGAGAGUCGCCUCGGCCGCUCGCUUUCUCGACUCCCGCCUCGCGCCUCGAUCCUGUUCCGCCUCCCUCGGCCCUCCUGCCCGCCCCCACUCGUCGGCCCUCAGGUACCUAAAAUGUCUCAUUAUUCAUCAAUUAAUGAAAAACAAAUGAAAAUUUGAGAGAGAUAUUCUGAAGAAUAAAAGGAUCAAGUUGGGUCAUUUCUAAAAUCUCAGAGACCUAAUAGGAUGGGGUCUUAGAGAAACAUCUUUUGAGCCACAGACUUCUUUGUUACCAGAAGGAAAAUGAAAGAAGAAAUUUAAAUACCACUUGAAGAGAGAGAGUGUGAAGAAAUGACCCUGAAAAGCCUCUGGCAGAGGAUUCUUCUUUCAGGAUGGUGUCGCCUCCUCAGCAGCCCAUCCUCCUCCCCUGGACUCAAGCUCUCAUUCCAGUAACACUCCUUCCUCCUUCUCCAUCUUCAGGGGGAGGUUUGCCAGUCGGUGCUGCCCAGUUCAUGAGUGCUGCUGCUGUCCUGCCCAAGUACCCAGCUUGCAGAGUGCCAGAGUUAGAGUCCCAGGGGUGUUCUCCACAGCUGCAUGCUUGAUCCAGGCCUAUCAGUGAACCAGCAUCUUGCCCUUCAGACCCUACAGCACACUCUUGGGCUCAUGAAGUGUAUGACACAUCCUCCUUGGGGGAUCGGCCAUGUCCUCGCUCUCAUGACCACAUGAAUUCUUCUGUAUGUCUUUUCUCACAGCUGAGUACUCUCUUCCUGACCCCCUUGUGGAAUGGGGAAAGGAGGCUGUGACAUUGUGCUUGUGCAAACAAUAAUUGAGAGCUUUCCGAGUCUCCUGCAUCUUCAUAAAUGAUUUUUUGUUUUAUGCUGGGACAGUAGUUCUUUAAAUAGAAUAUUCUCCCAUGGAAAUCGCCCACAAUGCUGAGAGUACACCUUGCAAAAGGUAAGUCUAGAAUAUAGGGUGCCUCCUCAGCAUUGCCCAGAAGCUGAAGUUAGGACUCUCUAGAAUACCAAAAACAAAUUUAUAGCAGUUCAUUAAUGUAAGGAAUUAUGAAAACUGUGUGCCACCAUUAUCCAUAGAUGAAACAAGAGCCACCACGCAAGCACAGACACAAAGCCCUGAAGAUGAAGCCAUUGACAGGGCUCUCAUUUAUUCUGUAGAAACCCACUUGCCUGUUUUUGAACCAGUUUUCUUUGGAGCAUAUGUCUCACUGUGCAACCAAAGUGGUGUUUAUAUCCUAGUCACUUGGCAAAAAUUCUGUCAUUGCUUCAGGGAGAUCCAUUUUAGGCCUGAAGCAUGGAGCUGGUAAUAGAUGGGAUUUGGUACUUCUGAAGAAAAGACCCUACUGCAAAUUUAGAGAGUUAAUUUUUUCUUUUGUUCCCCAUAAUAUUGUUGCUAGAUAGAACUACCUUUUUUGACUAGAAGUUAAAUAUAGAGGCCUAAAUCAAUUAGGUAACUCCCACUCAUUCUAAAUGAGAACAUGUUUGUUUUUCUCCAACGAGAUGAGAAAUAUUUGAGGCGCUUCCUGAUAUCUCUAUCACCCACUGCAUUUUUUCACUUGAUGUAUAUUUCCCCAUGUAUUUGGGAUAAUUUUCAAAUAAUUGCCCUUUAGAAAUCUACUUGAUAUUAAAUGUAAAAAAAAAGCAAGAUGCAAAAUUAUUAUAGGAUGCAUUUACAGAAAUUACAAAAUUUCUAUAAACUAUUUAUGGAGGAAGACUUAUAGAGUAUAUGUCAACACAUUGCUUUAUUAUUGUCCUUGGUUAUGAGUAUGGUUUUUUUGAAACCUGCUUUGUACUUUGGGUGUUUUCUCACCAUUGGUACAAUUGAGGCAUUUUUCCCUCUUCUUCAACCUUGCAAAUCACACGUGAGGAUGCUCAUAGAAGUGCCUCUCAGACAGGCUGUUGUUUUGCUUUCACCAAUAAAUCAUUUAUAAUUAGAAGUAGAAAACUAUUCUUUCCAGUGCAAAUACAUCCCUUUCAAAAGCAGUUCUCUUUUUGUGAAUGAUGUCUAGUGUCUAAGAAACGAGGGUAACCUUUAUUAUAUGCAUUGCUCUAAUCGAAGCAUUGUUUUUUGCGGUGAACUCAAGGUUACAUGUUUAAGAAAAGCAUCGGGUUAAUUCCAUUAGGAAAAGUGUCUUAUUCAUAAACCUUUAGCCACUGGAAAAACACCAUUAGGAGGCCACACAAGUGUGUAUAGCUGGAUAGAAUUUGACAACUGGCAAAACAAAACAAUAGCCUACAAUUGCAGAGUGCUGUCUGUUUAAAAACCAACAUAUCUUUCACCAACAAAUACAUAUUCACCUCAACACGAGACUUUCAUGUGGUUAUUAAUAUCAAAUUUUUGAAUGUCCAAAUUUUGGAGUGUAGUCUAGCAGAGGUAAACUGAUUUGCCUAAGGUCCUUCAACUGUCAGAGGUAGAAUUAUUUUCUCUCUCCUGGCUCUAAAACCUGUCCAGAUUCUCCUGCAACACUGUCCUUCAAAAACACACUUCCGCUGACUCCAGUGCUGGUGAUGUCAUGCUUUAGCUAGUAGUUAGAGGUGACUUAACUUUAAAUAUGGAAUCUUUUUUUCCUAUUAAGCAAUGAGGUUUAGUUUGAAAAUUCUUAGAGAUGAUAAACCCCUCUCCUUUUUUUCUUCCUUCUCCUCUUUUGUCCUGAACAAUGUUCCAUAUAUAUUACUGCCAGAAACAGAUUCUUGACAUUCCUGUUAUGCUUUUCCACAUCUUGUAAUCAUUUCUACAGCUGUUAGCAUUGCCAACAAUUAUAUUUCCACUUUUAAAAAAUUGUUACAAAGAUGCAGAGAGAAAAGAGGAAAGCCAAGGAAUAAACUACAGGCAAUUAUGGGAUAUUUUUGUGAUGUGACAUUUUGGGAACUGAGGCAGCAUCACUGAUACUGCACUACUUUUUAAUAUCUAGAUUUUAAUCUUUUGUAUGAAGAUAAAAUUCACAUGCCUUAAACCUGACCACAACAUAAUAGGGCAUUUAUUUUUCUAAUUUUGAUACCAUCCACAUUUCUUAACUAUAAGAAGAAUGCUUAUGUUGUACCAGGUUAUAUGAUGUUGCCAAGAAGUAGAUGUGUACCAUUUACUAAUACAUCCUUUUGGAAAAUGCGUAUUAAUAACAUAUUAAGGAGUAAAUUGACGUUGUGCAAAGUGAGCCUGUGAGUUUAAAUGUAUGGAUUGUACACCUUGCUCUUCCUAAUUGCAGAUUUAACAGGAUUUGAUGACCUAAUGAGUUUAUUUCUGAAUGAUUUAUAUUUCUUUGUCAGUUCAAUGAUUUAGUAUUUUAAAUUUUUUUAAAUCACAUUUUAUUGAGAUAAUGCUAUUAGUGUUUCUUUCCCAUCACUUAACAAAGUUAAGUCACUCCUCUCCCACCCCACUUUUGUACCUACCAAUGUUUUUUUCACAGUUACAGGCUGAUUGGCUUGACGUGUCUUAGGAUACCACCCAAAGAGAGCUUCAUUUUAUAAAUACCAAGCUCAUUUUCCUAAAUAUUUUCAAAAAGAUAGAUUUAUCCUCAUAUAGUAAAUUCAGAUUAAUAAUUUUGGAAAGGGUCAUGUGACCAUGGUAUUACAUGGCUGUGGAAGACCCUCCAAGAUCUUGUUUUGGGAUAGAAGGACUCAGACAUCCAAACUUUUAAAUUAAUGAACUUAUUAAAUUCUAAAACUUUGUAACAGUGUUAAUUUGAGAAGUAUAAUAUUUUGCUUAAGGUCUGUUUUGCUUUGCAAAAUGCAUCUCCUUCAUUUUCAUAUUAUGUUGGAAGCUUAGCAUGAAAGAACGUGCCUCAGAGGAAACCAUAGGUAAGCAUACUUUAACAAAAGUUAGUGUCAUCAUGUUUGUGUCUUUGCCUGUGGUUUUUUAAAUGUAUAAUGUUUAACGUUGAUUUGGCUAUCAAAUUACAUUUUCUUUUGUUAAAAAAUUCUGUAAAUUAGAAAUGUACUGAAUCAUUUAUUUAGCAGACUGAAGGUGGGUAAUGUUGGCUGAACAGGUUUAAGCCACAGUAAUUUGAAAAUGUAAAUACAUAAAAUAAUGUCAUUUCUCUUCCACUCAAUGUUUCUUCACCAAAUAAAGUCCAGCCUGCUCUGAAUUUGUUGCCAGUAGGAACAAUGUUACAGUGAAUCAUGGUUUAAUAUACCUUGAAAAUGGCACAUCUGUUCUGUGAUAGCUUACCAAUUUUAGCCUCUUUAUAAAAUACGAAGAGUUUGUCAACCAGAAUAAUCUAGAACCUGGCAAUUCAAAUACCAUUCAAAGCAAAUGUUUUAUCUAAUAACUGGAACUAAAUGUUAGGCCUCAUGACAGUUCAAUAUUUACUAAAUAAGUUUAAUAACAGGGUAAGCCCUCAGUAUCCAGAGCAGAGACAAGCACACCAUAUUUACACAUACAAAUUCUGCCUUUAGCCAUCUGAAAGGGCCCCGAACUAUUGCAGCAAGCAAAGAGUCUUUGCAUUGUCCUAAAAUCCAUACAAUACUUUAUAUUUUACACAUUUUAAUAGCUAGUUUAACAAAUAACAAGUACCAUGCUUAAUUCUCUGCAUGCAUUAUUUCAACUAAUUAUUGGAAUAAUCUUAUAAAGUGGGUACUUUCGUCUCAGCUUACAGGUGAGAAAACAAAAGUUAAAUAGAUCGCCCAGGGCUCUGCUGGAACGUGUUAAGCAGGGAUUUCAGCCUGUCCAGUCAGACCCCAGAAGUUGUGUUCUUAACCAUUAGCAACACAUCAUCCCAGGCAGGCCCUACAUGAGCCUCAUAACCAAUUUUAUGCUGGAUAGUAUUAUCCCUAUUUCACAGAUGGCAAAACUGAGGUCCAGAGACUUUAAGUGACCUACCCAAAAUUACAGUCAUGAGCAGAGGCACUGGAAUGUAGGGCCUUGACACUCUACCUCACGUGGUCCUCUUUCCUGUUUUGGGUAGUUCUCCACUACCACUACUCAUUUCUGAUGCUGGAAAGGCUGUGUUUUAUACAUUUCUGUUUCUGGCUUGGAACGAAACACUCUGGGUCUCUGCUUGAUCAGUGUCCCCUCUAAACUGCACCUCACUACAGUAGGGAUGGCAUAAGAUACUUCUUUACACAGCAUCUUUUUGUUCCCACCUCACCCCCAGAGCUGUAAUAGGUAGAGCCAGCCAAAUGUCAAAGGGAUGAUUUGUCUUGUCACCACUAGUUUCCCUUUUCUCUGCCUUGUAUGUAACAGGAAUAUUCUUUAGUUCCUCCUUAUGUUCUAAAGCACCUCCCCAACCUAAAAAUAGAAGAGGAGUUGUGGGUCAUUUACACUUUAGUGUGAAUUUGCCCUUGUGACUUUGCCAAGGCUGUUGUGCCUAACCCUUUCAAUCUAACAGCAGAAUGAGAGUCUCUGGACUAUCCUGGCUCCUUCCCUGAGAAGAAUGAACUGGGAAUUGUUGGUCUAGACAUCAAGACUACCAGAGACCUAUUGCUCAGAGAUGUUUGGGCUGUACAAUUUCUGUAGAUAUGGCAUCUGGAGCAGCCUUUUCUAAGCAAUGGCAUUAUCAUUCCAGGCUCUCUCGCUCUUUCCAUCUCUCCACCAGGUGGACUCUUGCCCUCCACCCCUUCCAAUUUGUCAGUGAUUCAGAGAACAUUCUCCAUCCUUCCAAUGAUUACAUUCCUUCAUCUUGCUGGGGCGCCAAUUCAGUGAUGGAGCGGCUCUUGGGAGCAGCCUUGGCUUAUAGUGCAGCUCUCUGCUACCUUCAACAGGCUGGUAUUCGGGGUGCUUAGAUGUGACUGGUUGUACGCACGUGUGUGUAUGUGCAUGUGUGUACAGCAGUAAGAGCUUUCGAGGUAGAUACUUGAGGAAGCCUCAGACAUCUAGCCCCAUUACUGGGGCAAUGUCUUACUUGGGUUUUUCCAGAAACAGACCUGGAGACCAGGAUUCAAGUGCCAGUGGUAUAUUUGGGAUGUGAACCCUGCAAUGCUGGUAGGAGAGUGGAGAAGUGAGGCAAGGAAAGGAAGGCCGUCAAGGGGCGUGUUAGGAGGUCAUUCACCACCGCAGGUAGCCCGCUGGGGACCUCUGGGAGCAAGUGUGGCGCACAAGCCUCAGCAUUACUGCCCUGUGCCUUGAGGAGUAAGGGAUAAGGAUUUUCCCCACCAGUUCCCUGUAGUCCUUGGUGAGAGCUUCUGGGGUGGAGGUUAAGGUCUUUAGGUCAGAGAAAUUUUCUUUAGUUUCGGAAAAAUCUUUCAGGCCGAGGUCCAGACACUCACUGGAACACACUGAAGUGGUUAGGUCCAAGGGCUGUAGGCAGAGCUCCCAUAUCCAUCUGCAGAGGUGUUUCAGGUGGAAGGAGUGGAGACAGCCUUCUCUGCUCCACACUGUCUUCAGCAAGGGUUUCUGUAUCUGUGCAUUGAGGAUUAAAUUAUUCACAUGGUCAGAGAAGCCCAUCACCACUGAUAGUUAUUGUAGGUAUGGAAAACUAACGACUAAGAAGGGAGAAAAAUAUACCAAGCAGUUGGCUUGGCUGAACACAAGUAAAGACUCUUACAGUCACUGGUGUGAACUGCUUAUUAUCAAUGUCUGAUUACAGUGCUGCAUACUAAUGAUUAUGCAUGUCAUUAAAUGUGUCAGAUUAACUUUGUUAUAAAAUUUAUGACAACAUUAAAUUUUAUUCACAUG